UACAGAGACUGCAAGCGUUACUCGGAUUCACUGGGCGUAAAGGGAGCGCAGGCGGACCGGUGUGUCAGAUGUGAAACCCCAGGGCUCAACCCUGGGACUGCGUCUGAAACUGCCGGUCUAGGGACUCGGAGGGGCUAGUGGAAUUCCUGGUGGAGCAGUGAAAUGCGUAGAUAUCAGGAGGAACACCAACGGCGAAGGCA
This 200-nucleotide ribosomal RNA is filed under the name uncultured bacterium. RNAcentral's name for it is "partial 16S ribosomal RNA". It matches the Rfam family "Bacterial small subunit ribosomal RNA", at positions 524 to 723 of the family's 1533-position model. The record is from RNAcentral.